UAGGGGAAGUCUUCCGCAAUGGGCGCAAGCCUGAUGGAGCAACACCGCGUGAGUGAAGAAGGGUUUCGGCUCGUAAAGCUCUGUUGUUAAAGAAGAACACGUAUGAGAGUAACUGUUCAUACGUUGACGGUAUUUAACCAGAAAGUCACGGCUAACUACGUGCCAG
This 166-nucleotide ribosomal RNA is filed under the name uncultured bacterium. Its description in RNAcentral is "partial 16S rRNA". It matches the Rfam family "Bacterial small subunit ribosomal RNA", at positions 353 to 511 of the family's 1533-position model. The record is from RNAcentral.